GAAAAUCAUUUGGCAUCCGUUUUCCACCUCACGAUUGACCUCGGAUCAGGUAGGGAUACCCGCUGAACUUAAGCAUAUCAAUAAGCGGAGGAAAAGAAACCAACCGGGAUUGCCUCAGUAACGGCGAGGGG
This 131-nucleotide ribosomal RNA is filed under the name Nephroma bellum. RNAcentral describes it as "partial large subunit ribosomal RNA". The stretch from base 36 to 131 matches the Rfam family "Eukaryotic large subunit ribosomal RNA", at positions 1 to 96 of the family's 3401-position model. Lineage: Eukaryota; Fungi; Ascomycota; Lecanoromycetes; Peltigerales; Nephromataceae. The record is from RNAcentral.